Molecule: transfer RNA, 84 nt
Filed under: Candidatus Omnitrophota bacterium
Lineage: Bacteria; Pseudomonadati; Candidatus Omnitrophota
Description: Candidatus Omnitrophica bacterium tRNA-Leu
Rfam family: tRNA
About the family: Transfer RNA (tRNA) molecules are approximately 80 nucleotides in length. Their secondary structure includes four short double-helical elements and three loops (D, anti-codon, and T loops).
Source: RNAcentral
GCCGGGAUGAUGGAAUUGGCAGACAUGAGAGACUUAAAAUCUCUUGCUCAAAAGAGCGUGCCGGUUCGAGUCCGGCUCCCGGCA